Molecule: signal recognition particle RNA, 267 nt
Filed under: Syntrophobotulus glycolicus DSM 8271
Lineage: Bacteria; Bacillati; Bacillota; Clostridia; Eubacteriales; Desulfitobacteriaceae
Description: Bacterial large signal recognition particle RNA
Rfam family: Bacterial large signal recognition particle RNA
About the family: The signal recognition particle (SRP) is a universally conserved ribonucleoprotein involved in the co-translational targeting of proteins to membranes.
Source: Rfam by way of RNAcentral
CCGUGCUAGAUGGGGAGGUAGCGGUUCCCUGUAACCCGCAGUCCGCUGCAGCGGGAUCGAAUUCCUUUGUGAGGGCCUAAUUGUCGGAGCAGUCUGUGCAUCUGAAGUGAUGACAUUCUGGUCUUGCGCAACGGAAUGCUUUGAACCGUGUCAGGUCCUGACGGAAGCAGCACUAAGGAGAUUUUUCCGUGUGCCGCAAGGUUGCCGGAAGGGAACUUCGGUUUACAGGUAACGUCCGGUGGUUAUGGUUCGGGCAAAGGUGCACGG